AGCAGCCGCGGUAAUUCCAGCUCCAAUAGCGUAUAUUAAAGCUGUUGCAGUUAAAAAGUUCGUAGUUGAAUUUCGGGAUUAGUAAGUUGGUCGUGCCUCUGGUAUGUACUGGCUUUACUGGUUCCUCCUUCUUGAAGAACUGUAAUGUCAUUAAUUUGGUGUUGCAGGGAAACAGGACUGUUACUUUGAAAAAAUUAGAGUGUUUAAAGCAGGCUAACGCUUGAAUACAUUAGCAUGGAAUAAUGAAAUAGGACGUUUGAUCCUAUUUUGUUGGUUUCUAGGAUUGACGUAAUGAUUAAUAGGGAUAGUUGGGGGCAUUAGUAUUCAAUUGUCAGAGGUGAAAUUCUUGGAUUUAUUGAAGACUAACUACUGCGAAAGCAUUUGCCAAGGAUGUUUUCAUUAAUCAAGAACGAAAGUUAGGGGAUCGAAGACGAUCAGAUACCGUCGUAGUCUUAACCAUAAACUAUGCCGACUAGGGAUCGGAUGAUGUUAAUUUUUUAAUGACUCAUUCGGCGCCUUA
This 520-nucleotide ribosomal RNA is filed under the name uncultured Glomeromycotina. Its description in RNAcentral is "SSU rRNA". It matches the Rfam family "Eukaryotic small subunit ribosomal RNA", at positions 569 to 1090 of the family's 1831-position model. Lineage: Eukaryota; Fungi; Glomeromycota. The record is from RNAcentral.